AACCCUUCAACGAAGCCACUCCAAAAUAAGAUGAGGAGGAAACAAGUUCUUGCUUACCUUCUCUUUGCACUCUUCCUGGUUGCUUCUCGAGGCCAUUACCCCGGCAUCGCCUUCAUGAUUCAGGCUGCGAAAUCCCAUAAUGUUAAACUAUAUGGAGCAAGUACACCAGCAAGAAAUAGUUUAGCUCUAAGACAAAUGCUAGGUACUUGGGGCGAUUCCAGAAAGCUUGUGAAAGGAAAUAGUCACAAAGUUCCAUCAGGACCGAACCCGAUUGGUAACUGGCACCCACCAUCCAUUCAUCCAUGAUUGAGAGGAGGGAGCAGUACUCAUAGAUGGUUUGAUUAGCAAGAACAAAGAAAAUGGAGUUUAUUAUUAUAAUAUGCAGUUCGGGAUUGAAGUUGGUCAGAUAUUAUAUAUUAUGCAUAAUUUUUUUUCCAGUGUCUCAUAUAACUUGCAGAAGAAUGUAUGCUAGGUUAGCUAUAUUUGGUAUUCAUAUUUACAGAUUUGAUCUUAGUAAUUAUUGGUACCUUCUUGGAAUCUAGUUUUUAUUUCCUGAGUUUUUUGUUCCAAUGAUUGUAGAAAUUUGAAAUCUAGAAAUUGAGGAUUUAUUAUAGUCUUUAAUUCAAA
This is a long non-coding RNA of Humulus lupulus (European hop), 627 nucleotides long. RefSeq lists it as uncharacterized. Lineage: Eukaryota; Viridiplantae; Streptophyta; Magnoliopsida; Rosales; Cannabaceae. The record is from RefSeq and is a predicted model, not a curated record. The transcript has 3 exons.